UCUUGUUUCAAAGGUGAGUCGCCAGAUCCCAUCCCUUCUCCAACCUAUUUUAUUCAUAUCUCACCAAAUAUAAGCUAAGAUUCAUUUUUAGAGAAAGCUACUCAAAGAACUCUACUCUUCCAACAUGAUUUGAUAUGUUCUUUAUUCUGAAACUGGAACACUUGUAGCCUCUCAUUUCGAUGACUUUUUGGGUUCAGAUUUUGGGCAACAUGAGGUUUAGUAGGCUCUUUUCAUGGGGAUCAUUUUAUUGCUCACCAAAUGUUUGAUAGGAUUCCUCAACUGGAUGUUGUCUCAAAAUGCAGUAAUUGUUGUUUUUGUUAUUCAAAAGAAAAAAAGAUCCUAUCCCUUGCUUGAUUCUUUCUCUCUCUAUCUCUUCAGGGAUGUUGAUCUGCCAACGUUGGUAGGAUCCUAUUUCUAGAUUGGCAGCCCAAACUCAUCAAAUGCCCCUAUUUGACCUUCUUCGAUUUUUGAUCCAUCACAAUCUUGGCCUCUUUCCUUGAACCACUAGAGUUCUGGUGGCAUUGCCACAGUCGACCAUCCAAGAUAAACAACCUUGACAUUUUGAUCUAUGUUUAUUUCUCUAAUAUGGACACUAGACUCAUUUUUCAAAGUGGAGAUCAUUGUUAGGCAACUUGAUUGUAAUAGCUAUAUGAAUUUUUGCCUAUAUGUCCAAUUAUAAUCUCUUUUGUUUCAUAAAGCUAAUUUUUGCAUGCCUAAGUCUAUGGCUCAGGUAAUUGGCUCGUUUCUGCCUUCGAUCAUGUGAUAUCUUAUAGUUACAUUGAAAAGCCAUUGUUUCUCCUUUUCUCUUUUGAUCUCGCCUGAUCAUUUCUGAUUAUGUUGGAUUAUAUGUUGGAUUCAAUUGAUGCUAAACAUCAAACUACUUUGAUCGUUGUAGUGUCUGUGACUUGUCUUUAUUUGAUCGUCUCUUGAUUGCUUUUGGCACAUGUGUUUUCCUUGAGUUUGAUAGCGAUGACAUUUUAAAUUGGAUAUAUGCAGUAAGGUCAUCUGUAGCUAGUCAAAAUAAAUG
This 1027-nucleotide long non-coding RNA is filed under the name Phoenix dactylifera (date palm). Its description in RNAcentral is "long non-coding RNA (PDAC_LNC016357)". Lineage: Eukaryota; Viridiplantae; Streptophyta; Magnoliopsida; Arecales; Arecaceae. The record is from RNAcentral.